Molecule: ribosomal RNA, 433 nt
Filed under: uncultured bacterium
Lineage: Bacteria
Description: partial 16S ribosomal RNA
Rfam family: Bacterial small subunit ribosomal RNA
Source: RNAcentral
AACGAACGCUGGCGGCAUGCCUAACACAUGCCAGUCGAACGAGACCUUCGGGUCUAGUGGCGCACGGGUGCGUAACGCGUGGGAACCUGCCCUUAGGUUCGGAAUAACUCCCCGAAAGGGGUGCUAAUACCGGAUAAUGUCUUCGGACCAAAGAUUUAUCGCCUUUGGAUGGGCCCGCGUUGGAUUAGCUAGUUGGUAGGGUAAAAGCCUACCAAGGCGACGAUCCAUAGCUGGUCUGAGAGGAUGAUCAGCCACACUGGGACUGAGACACGGCUCAGACUCCUACGGGAGGCAGCAGUGGGGAAUAUUGGACAAUGGGCGAAAGCCUGAUCCAGCAAUGCCGCGUGAGUGAUGAAGGCCUUAGGGUUGUAAAGCUCUUUUACCCGGGAUGAUAAUGACAGUACCGGGAGAAUAAGCUCCGGCUAACUCCGUG